This is a long non-coding RNA of Alosa sapidissima (American shad), 2351 nucleotides long. RefSeq lists it as uncharacterized. NCBI's taxonomy places the organism in Eukaryota, Metazoa, Chordata, Actinopteri, Clupeiformes, Clupeidae. The record is from RefSeq and is a predicted model, not a curated record. The transcript is spliced from 4 exons.
UUGUAGCCAUGUCGAAAAGAAAAUCUCCUCAAAAAGCAUCCAAGAUGCUAAGGCAUAUAGGGAAGGACUUGGACCACAGGAAAAAGUGUGAUAUUUCGAAAAAUUAGGGUUUAAUGGCGGUGCAGAUCCCUACGAGUUGGCUCCCUCUUCUUGGAUCCAUGGUGAUUCUUCCUUCAGUUGCAUAUCCCGAUAUCGUUAACUGGUUUUCUCACCGAGCCCAUGCACAGCGGAAGACCUUAAAUCCUACAAUGGUUUGGAGGCCUAUAACCAGAUGGUGUGUGGAUGGGUGAGGGAGUGGCAGUACCAAGUCAUCAACGACCGUUGUGUUGUGAAAGCGAGAACAAUUGCAGUAGCAUCAUUUAUUGUCUGCCACCCAGUGGUUAAACAUAGAAAUCCAGUCCCUCAAUGUUAUAUUUCAAAGGAUUUUUCCAACCUGAAGUGAAACCAGAGGGACCUCAAUCUUCAUUCAUUUGGUGUGCCAUGAACUCCCUCAAAACAAAGACACACUGUAGCCUACACCGGGUUGCCCUUUUUACCCUAUUUACCCUCAUGCUGUUUUAGAAAUGACUCCAUUAUUGCAAUAGGGACUCUGGCACCACUUCUACUUCGGAGGUUCUUGAAGGAUGGCUGCUUUACCUGGAAGGAAGGAUGGCUUUACCAGCGGGACUCAUCGUCAGUUGUGUACCUCAGCAUCACAGGGUGUUUCGGCCAAUUAUCACAAUACACACUCUGCUGAGGCAGGCCCACCACAGGUUGAUUAAGUGUGUGACCCGCAGUUAGCUGUUUGCCUUAGAAGCCCAGGUGGUGUCGCUCCUCUUCAGCCACAGCCAAUGGCUUGUCCUCUCGGCGGUGUUGGCCAGCUCUUUUAAUGGCUUGAAUGAGAGCCAGUACAACACCAGUGUUCGAUUCCUCAAUUCAUUAUUAGGGCUUUUUAGCCUUUAGUCAAUAAUGAACAGAUGAUAGGAGAUGAGUGGGAGGAAGAUGGGGGGAGGGUUUGUGAAAUUACCUCAUGUCGAACUACUGGCUCCUGGAUGUGAAGUCAGGUCUUCCAGAAAUAUUAUUUUUUUCUUUAAUCAAGUAGAAAUAAGAUAUUUUGCAGAAUAAUCUUGAAUUGUUAUUUUUACUAAUCUGAUGAUUUUCAUGUUUUCAGUAAUCUUGAAUUGUUAGUUUUACUAAUCUGGAGAUUUUCAUGUUUUCAGUAACUCGGAACUGGCAUUGAGAUAAUUUAUUCAUAAUGAAAAUAAUUCAGUAAUAUCCACCAUAAAUGUUUGAACUAGAAAAUUGUUGUAAAACGAAUCAACAGUGUUGUAUGUCAACAGUAGCCCACGAGUAGAUCAUGCCAUUGGUGUAUAAGAAAAAUCUACACAAGAUUUCUAUUUCUAUUUCUACGUAUUGGCUACAUUUAAUAUAACACACAUAUAGCACAUGUCUAAUGUCCUCAUCCUCAUGUCACAAAUACAUGUAAAUGCAUAUGAAUACAACCUUUCAGCCAAGCAUGGUUAAAACAAUGGAGGUAGAUGAAUAGCAUACAAUUAGAGGUGGAGGAUUAGGCCGAGUAGUACUUAGAUUAAGUUGAAGAGAGCACCUAACUUUUGGAAUAACUUUGACAUUAAAGUGAGUGCUGAUGAAUUUACAUAUGCAUGGACUUAUUCCUGAACCCACAAAUGUAUCUUAAGUUACUGUGCAGUGCUGUACAGUAGUAUAGAGUAUAGAAUAGUGCAGUAGUGAUCGCCGACAAUGAUGAGUAUAGUCCAGUGAAGAAUAUUACACUAUAUAGUGUAUAAUAAGUCCCUUUUCUAGGUCCUUUUUCUGGCUGUUAGAGAAUGUUGGGAUAGAUCUCUCCCUCUCAUGAUUGGGUCACUUCCUGGCUCUCACUCCUGUUCUUACUCACUGACCCUUAAAACACAAAUGUGUGUGUGUGUGUGUGUGUGUGUGUGUGUGUGUGUGUAUGUGUGACAGUUCAUAUAAUAUUAUACACCUCUGUUUUGUUGUAUGAGAUGCUGACACUUCUCUUGCUUGGAGCCAUGUUUCUUCUCCCGUGUGUGUAAUUGUAAUGUGUCAGGAGUAGUCACGGCGAUGCAGCGUCACCUGCUCCAGAGCAGCUCUCCGCCUUUCCCAGAAUUCCCUUGGAGGGGGGUACUGUCAAAGCCACCCGCAGGGUGAUGUCAUCAGGUCACAACAUUUUCAUAUGGCAGGCGAGGAAACGGAGAGGUCAAGAAUGAGGAGACGUGUUUCUGCGUGUGUGUAUGUGUGUGUGUGUAUGUGUGUGUCUGACAGACAGAGAGAGAGAGAGAUCGGUGAGUGAGUGUGGAUAUGUGUGUUGUGUAUAUGUAUGUGUACUUGUGUGUGUG